UUUUAGAAAUUAAUUUAAAGUCUAACCUGCCCACUGAUAAUUUUAAAUGGCCGCAGUAUUUUAACUGUGCAAAGGUAGCAUAAUCAUUAGUCUUUUAAUUGAAGGCUGGAAUGAAUGGUUGAAUGAAAUAUUAACUGUUUCAUAAAAAUUUUUAUUAGAAUUUUAUUUUUUAGUUAAAAAGCUAAAAUUAUAUUAAAAGACGAGAAGACCCUAUAAAUCUUUAUAUUUAAAUAGUUUUAAUUAUUUAGAUUAAUUGAAUUAUAACUAUUUAUAAAUAUUUUAUUGGGGUGAUAUUAAAAUUUAAUAAACUUUUAAAUUUAAAUUUACAUAAAUUAAUGAAUUAUUGAUCCAUAAAUUAUGAUUAUUAAAUUAAGUUACUUUAGGGAUAACAGCGUAAUUUUUUUAGAGAGUUCUUAUUGAUAAAAA
RNAcentral lists this ribosomal RNA (426 nucleotides) under Megaselia hibernans. Its description in RNAcentral is "partial 16S ribosomal RNA". Lineage: Eukaryota; Metazoa; Arthropoda; Insecta; Diptera; Phoridae. The record is from RNAcentral.